RNAcentral lists this long non-coding RNA (2337 nucleotides) under Rattus norvegicus (Norway rat). RNAcentral's name for it is "long non-coding RNA NONRATT003868". Lineage: Eukaryota; Metazoa; Chordata; Mammalia; Rodentia; Muridae. The record is from RNAcentral.
GACCAGCGCAGGGAGCGGCUCGGAUCUCUGCACCUUUCCAGGCUUGCCCGGGACCGCUACGGAGUCCAUUGGGCCUUUUGGCUCUUGCUAUGCCUGGAGAGUGGCUAUCUCUGAAACGGGAAACCCAAGGAAACCGGGUCAGCUGGACACUCCAGUCACCCUCCGGGAGAGGGGCCUCUUAGCUGGGAAGUAAGGGGAAGAGGAAGGAGUCGGAUCUUGCGGUCAGCUCCAGAUCGCCAUCUAGCGGCUUUUCUGGAGCCGCGAGGAAACUCUGGGGUCAACUGUCUUAGUUUCCUGGCUUUAGAUGUUUAUUCUGUAAGUGUCCGGUUCACAAGGGCCAAGGCUUUUAAGAGAUCCAUUGGAGAAGCAAUGCGCUGGGGGGAGAAAAGAAAAGGAAGAGAAGAAAGAUGUUUGGCUGGGAGUCUUAGGCCUCGUUCACCCACCACAGAUGUCUCAACUAUUGGAGUUGAAAGGAGUCCAACCGGGUGUGAACUGCACCUGCAGUCCCAGCUUUCUUGAAACCAAGAGAUCCCAAGUUUUACUCCACCCGUUAUCAACACACAUGCACACAAAGGUGUCCAAAGUGUAUUUCAGACUUCCUCCUCUGUGGAAAAUUGCCAGUGGUGUGCUUUGCAUGGGUGAGGCCCAGCUAUUACCAUCAUAAAAGGGGGUGGGAGGCUGGGGAGACAGCACAGCACUUCUUCUGCUCUUCCAGGGGACCGAUCCGCGUGGGACAGCUCACACGUGUCUGAAACUACCCCACCAGGAUCCCCUGGCUCUCUCUCCGCCUCUGGGAGACCGAAUUCAGGUGCACACUCUUCAAUUCUCGCCUACCCACCCCAAACCCAUGUAAUUAUAAAAAUAAGGAAUAUAAUCUUUUUAAAAAGUCACCCUGAAAAUGAUGUUUCGCUGACUUCUCCGCGCACACUUCCACUAACAAGGUCAGGACAAGAGUUUCCAGCAUGUUCUCUGUCUGGGCCUCGUGUUGUCAUCUUUCCCCGUAGGGACUGUGUGUACGGUGCGUCUCCGUCCUGAAGCCCUCCGUCCGGAAGCCCUCCGUCCUGUAGCACAGCACAGGUUCUUUCAGGGCUCUCCUACAGCUGGCCCUGUUGCUUAGCAGCUGAUCAUAGACUUGUACUGGCACCAGGUGAGGGGAAAGGCAUUCAUUCUCUCCCUGCCCCUCACUCCCUUAUACUAAAUGCGUUGACAGGAAGCAGUUCAGAUGUUUUUAAAAUUUAUGGUAUUUGCAUAGGCUUUACUAGCCUGAAAACCUGAACUCUCCCAACUGAUACUGUUUGUUUCUGAUUGGGGGUGCCAACUGUGUUCCUCUUAUACUGUUGGUGAAAGCUAAGGUUUGAAGAGGCCUAACACAACCAAACACAUAGCUAGGAAGGAGAGAGAAUAGAGGAUCUCCUGCUUCUGAGAUAACACUCCUCUUCUGAUCUUUUUAUUUAUUUAUCUAUCUAUUGAUUUAUUUAUUAUAAGUACACUGUCGCUGUCUUCAGACACAUCAGAAGAGAGAGCAUCAUCUCAUUACAGAUGGUUGUGAGCCACCACGUGGUUGCUGGGAUUUGAACUCAGGACCUCUGGAAGACCAGUCAGUGCUCUUAACCACUGAGCCAUCUCUCCAGACCCCGACUCCUUUAAAAAAGGGUUUGUUUGAUUUAUUUUUGAGACAAGUCUCUCUUACAUAGCUCUGGCUGUCCCGGGAUUCACUAUGUAAAAUAGGUUGUCCUGAAGCACAGAGAGCCAUAUAGCAUAAACCUGGCUUUCCUACACCUGCUCUGACUCCCAAACAAAGACAGGAAGACCUUAUAUUUAUUAGAAGCUUCAGCACUUCAGCUGGGCAGAUGCUCAUCGACUCUCACCCUGUUCUAACCCAUCUGUGGCUGCCUACUACCCCCACAUGCCCCAUUGCUUGCCAACUUCAUCUUGCUCUGGCUGUUCCUGCUCCAUCAGCGUCCUCAUAGUGACUCCUCUGGUGACCUGUUUAUGGUGAGUCUUCCAUGGUGAAUCCCUUCUCUCAGUUGCUGGUCCUCACUAGAGACCCUCUCUGGGAUCAGAAGUCCACCUCCUCCUCUGCUGCCCAGCUAUGGGCUGAUAAGUUCUUUACUAACUAAUCAGAGGUGAUGGACAACAAGUUUUACAGAGCAGUGAGACAGGAGAUGCUUGACAAUCAAACAUCUGAACGGCACCCAGACCUCUGGGCACAGCAAUCGGCAUCUGAAUACACAGUGCACACAAUCAUCCCCUGACAUUUCCCCAUUUUAGUCCAAUAUAGACUCUUUCUCAUAUUAAUAAACCAUAUGCAAUAGUAACAAUUAUGAAAGCUGUCAG